AGGCUAGUGGUUUAUGCAGCUGCCUUCCCACGGCAAAAGAAGGCCGCCUGGCAUAAAGCCCUGUGUGGCCCGGCUCGGCCCGGGAUUUCCGCGUGGAAGAGCCAGCCCUGCAACCGACCGCGAGUUGCGGGACGUGCCCGUAGGCGGGCGGUGCCCCGAGCGAGCGGGGCCAGACCAGAAAAGGAACAAAGUCGCCGGCCUUUACGCUCCGUCUCUGCGGCAGAGGGCGCGCCGUCCGCGGCAGAACCUGGAGCCGCAGACGGCGGCGAGCCGGCCGUCCGGCGCUGCACCCGACGAUGGGGCGACCGUGCGCCGCGGAGCUUCAGGCACCGGCAUCGGGCCCGCCUAAGCACCGGGCUGCGGGAGACGGCCCCGACCCCGCCCCCGGAGCCCCGCACACUGCGGGGAAGCCCUCGCCGCGAUGGCCGCGCACGCGCACUGCAGCCUCACUGCGUCGCCGGAGCCGCCUGGCCCGGCGCCAGGGGAGCCCCGCGCGCCGGCAGCGGGGCUGCCCGGGCGGGGCGGGGCAGCGGCCGCGGCGAGCGACUAUUUAUAGCGCGGGAGGCUCCCCCGGCCCGGGCAGCGUUCUUGCGCGGCUCCUUGGCGUGCGUGUUGCGUCGAGCAGACGGCCGAGGGUUCCCUGCGGAGCCGGUGCAGGGUGCAGCCAGCGCUUUGCGGGGUGGGCAGGAAAGAGGUGUAGCCGCGUCAGGGGACAGUCCUAAGGCCGCGAGAGUAGAGUCCCCGAGCGCUGUCACAUUUCAUCGCGCUGAAGUCAGUGGUGGCUGUGGCCAUUUAGUAUGUGGGGCUUUCUGUUUAUCAGUGCACUGUUCUUCGCUACGUGAAGGAGGCGCACGGAGCCGGGGUCUGUCCCGGUCUGGCGCUAUGGGCAGACCUCCGUCGGGAGCGGGCGGAGCAGGGCGAUCCCGGCAGGCCGCUGGAAUCCCGGAGAUUCCUCUUUUUCGGGAGCGGGCAGCUCCUGCCUUGGGCGCGCUGCCACCACUCAGAAAACUCCACAUCGAGGCUGCCUCGGGAGCCGCCGUGAGCGGCGCUUGGCUCCACCGCGGAGACGGAGGGGAGGCGAGUAGUGCGAGCUGA
RNAcentral lists this long non-coding RNA (1095 nucleotides) under Junco hyemalis (dark-eyed junco). RNAcentral describes it as "lncRNA (ENSJHYG00000007416.1)". The record is from RNAcentral. Lineage: Eukaryota; Metazoa; Chordata; Aves; Passeriformes; Passerellidae.